This 206-nucleotide ribosomal RNA is filed under the name uncultured bacterium. Its description in RNAcentral is "partial 16S ribosomal RNA". It matches the Rfam family "Bacterial small subunit ribosomal RNA", at positions 1286 to 1500 of the family's 1533-position model. The record is from RNAcentral.
UCUCAUUCGGAUUGGAGUCUGCAACCCGACUCCAUGAAGCUGGAUUCGCUAGUAAUCGCGCAUCAGCCACGGCGCGGUGAAUACGUUCCCGGGCCUUGUACACACCGCCCGUCAAGCCAUGGAAGCCGGGAGUGCCUGAAGUGCGUGAGCGCAAGCAGCGCCCUAAGGUAAAACCGGUGACUGGGGCUAAGUCGUAACAAGGUAGC